Tripterygium wilfordii is the source of this 1176-nucleotide RNA transcript. RefSeq lists it as uncharacterized. The transcript has 4 exons. Lineage: Eukaryota; Viridiplantae; Streptophyta; Magnoliopsida; Celastrales; Celastraceae. The record is from RefSeq and is a predicted model, not a curated record.
CAGGACAUCUUCGUGCUCAGACGACGCCCUCUUUCAUCAUCAACCGUUCCGCCUAGUCUCUUCUUUUAUCCUCUCAGAAUUCUUUGAUGGGUUUUGGACGAUUAUUCGUUUGUUUGAUUGAAGGGAAUGAUCCUUUGCUUAAUCAUUAGAACGAGUGAUCCAUUGUUAGAAAAUUCCACAUAACUUCUCAAAUUUACUGGGCUUAUUUUGAUACUAAAGAAAGGGAAAUGCAGGGAUGGUAUCUUCCUCCAAAUCCAAUUUGACCAAGACAACCGUGUUUUGGGGUUGGUUCUUUGUCCUUAUCGGGUUUGUUUCAUUUCUGGGAUUCCUUUUCACUGCAGUCAUAUCAAAACUUCUUCCUGCUUCGGAUAAUCCUUUAUUAUCAGCUAUUCAAAAAGACAGGUAUUACUGCUUUUUGGUUCCCUUGACAAUCCCUGUCCUCGUUGUUGCUGUGUAUUUCCACUGGCUUAGCAUGAAGUUGUUCAAGCAUGCAUGAUGUUUGUAGUAUCAACCAAGGAAGUUACAGAGCCUGCUUGAGUGCAACUCUUGAUCUGUUGGUGAGAAUUUUAGUUCGCGCAGACUUAAUUAUUGGACUAGAUGAACAUGCUUGGUGGAGGUGGGCUUUCUGACCCAACUGUUGGAGUUUCUGGGUUAACCAUUGAAGAUCAUCCCAUCCUUGACUCCUUUCUACUCUCACAAAUCUGAGCCUACCAGAGUCUUGAGUCAGUAUCAGUUUCUCCAUAUUUCUCUUUUCAGUCAGACUUGUUGUCUACGUAUAAAGAAUGCAGAGUAGAGCACCAAGAGUUUAGGUUCUUGGUGACUUGAUCCAGGGGGAAAAAAAACAGUAAAGCUGUUUGGAGCAUCUAUUAAUUCCAAAUUGAAUUGAUUGCUUACUAGUAAAAGCUCUACAUGAAUUGUGUGGGCACUUGCCCGGGUUUGAAUCUUCCACCUUCAAUGGUGUAUUCGACUUCUUUGCAGAGCCGGGUAGGCCACGUAAUGUUGUCUCUACUCAUGACAAACAGAAUAUGCAAGUCUUGGAAGGCAUUCUACCUAAUGUGAUUACUUGAGAAGUUAACUAUUUCUAAGAAGAAAUAUUUGACAAGAAAUAAUGUAUAGAACCUUUACCUUUGAUAUUUUUGAGUUAAUAUAAGUAAUUUUGACUCUGUUAAACUUUAA